UUAAAUUAUGGACUCGAAUUGAACCCUAUUCCUCCCGACUUCUCAUCUCGUGGCCGCUGCUCUCUUCUCUCCGCGUCUCCGCCGCAGCGGAGCUUCCUUUGCCGUCAGCUUCGCCGCACUCCCAUCAGGAACCAUUCUCCACAGUUCACCUCUUGAAGAUCUUGCUCUUGACCAAAUAAAGUCCUAAACAAUGCCUUCAAAGGGUGUCUCGCCAAUUACAGUUAGUUCUCUUUUGAAGUUGUGCAAAGGAUGUUGCUCACGCAAAGUUACGGACCGUAUAAAAGGCCUUAAUGUGUUGAGGGCUAUUAGCACUGCUGCUGAAAGGUCGGAUUUUCAGUUUUCUGGUGGUUACCAAAAUGAUGAUUCUUUAGGUUACCAGCAAAAUCGUGUUGGGUUCUAUCAGGAAAGCUGGAAUAAGGCUGAUUCUAACGAGCUUUUGAAUAAGCAAAGACCUGAUUAUGUUGCUCAAUCAAAUGGAAGUCGGUCUUAUUGGAAUAAUCAUGCUAGUUCAGGGCAAAAUUCUUAUGCAGCUGGUCAGAUUGCCGAUGGAGGUCAUUUUCCAAAGUCACCAAAUUUUCAUUACAAAGGGAGUAAUGAGACGCAUCAACAAUAUUCAGGUUCUGGACAGUUUCAGCAUAGCCUGAAAAAUGGCCAGUAUUCUCCAAACUUGAAUAUUCCACAGAGAUCGAUGGUUGGCUCUCAUCUAUCAAGUAAUGCAAAUCCUGAUGGCGUAUCAGCUGAGGCAUCAAAUGAUAGUCCAUAUAGAGGUACACUUGAGGAACUAGAUAGUUUGUGCGUUGAGGGUAAAGUGAAGGAAGCAGUUGAGGUUUUGAAUUUGCUGGAAAAACUACGUAUUCCUGUGGAUUUGCCUCGAUAUUUGCUAUUAAUGCGCCAAUGUGGGGAAACUAAAUCUCUUACAGAGGCAAAAAUUGUACACAGACAUGCCAUACAACAUUUAUCACCUCUUAAAGUAAGCUCAUAUAAUAAAAUAUUGGAAAUGUAUUUAGAAUGUGGUUCUGUAGAUGAUGCACUCAGCAUUUUCAACAAUAUGCCAGAGCGCAAUUUGACUACUUGGGAUACUAUGAUAACACACCUUGCUAAGAAUGGGUUUGCAGAAGAUUCAAUUGAUCUAUUUACUCAAUUUAAAAAUUUGGGCCUGGCUCCUGAUGGGCAUAUGUUCAUUGGGGUUCUUUCAGCAUGUAGUAUGCUGGGCGAUAUAGAUGAGGGAAUGCUGCAUUUUGAAUCCAUGAGCAAGGAUUAUGGCAUUGUACCAUCUAUGGCUCAUUUUGUCAGGGUAGUAGACAUGAUUGGCAGCAUUGGGCAUCUGGAUGAAGCCUUUGAGUUCAUUGAAAAGAUGCCAAUGGAGCCAAGUGCUGAUAUAUGGGAGACUUUGAUGAAUCUCUGUAGAGUUCAUGGGAACACUGGGCUGGGGGAUCGUUGUGCUGAACUAGUUGAGCAGCUAGAUCCUUCUCGUGUAAAUGACCAGUCAAAAGCUGGCCUUGUACCCCCUAAAGCCUCAGACUUGACAAAGGAGGGAGAGAAAAAGAAACUAGCAAGCAAAAAUCUUCUUGAAGUUAGGAGCCGAGUCCAUGAAUAUCGAGCUGGAGAUACUUCUCAUCCUGAAAAUGAUAAGAUAUAUGCCCUGCUUAGAGGUCUGAAGGCGCAAAUGAAAGAAGCUGGCUAUAUUCCAGAGACAAAAUUUGUGUUGCAUGACAUUGACCAGGAAGGCAAAGAAGAAGCUCUUCUUGCACACAGUGAGAGACUUGCUGUUGCUUAUGGUCUCCUUAGCAGCUCUGCUCGCUCUCCGAUCAGGGUAAUUAAGAACCUUCGUGUUUGUGGCGAUUGCCAUACAGCACUGAAAAUUAUUUCUAAGCUUGUAGGCAGAGAACUCAUUAUUCGAGAUGCAAAAAGGUUCCACCAUUUCAAAGAUGGACUAUGCUCCUGCCGGGAUUAUUGGUGAACAUGAACUUAGGUACAGUCUGCCUCUUUCUUACUGAUAGUUUCCCUUUAUAAUUGAAUUGGUAGCUGAUAAACAUUGAAACUAAAAUGGGUGCUAUUUGUCUGAGAAAAUUUUAAUACAGCAGAUGUAGUAAAGCUCAACUUACAUGAAACAAAUCAUCCACUCUCUGAUCCCUACACCAAUGUUUGUUGUGUAAUAUCAUGUGUGUACGAGUUUUACCAAUAGAAGUUGAGCCUAGAGAUCAAAAUGGGAUUUAAAUCUUCACUUCUGGAGUUGCAAUUGCAUAUUUGGGCUUAUUAUAAAAAUGGAGCAGAGGCCAAGGUGAAUUCAUUUGAACAAAUGCCAAGUAUUACAUUACAUCCUCUCUCCCCCUCCCCCUUUUCUUACGUUAAGAAUAAGGUGAAUCCUGACUACCAGCUGGGUUGAAUAGCAUGGCUUUAUUAAGUUAACUCCUCAAGCCUGCUCAUAGGGACAUUGUUCGUAUAUAUCUCACGGUCAUAUUAUUAAAACGAUCUUUACAUCCCCAAGGAGACUGAAGUUUUGUUUAACCAGGCUCUUCCACUAAUAAAUCAAUCAGUGGGAUACGCAUUCUGGUUGCAGAGGCAUUAUUCUUUGAGUAGUUUUAUAGAACUGGCUAUUGUAGCUUCCAUAUAAGAUAUAAAUUAUUUUUGCACUCCAAGGGAAAAGUUGAUGUAGUUGAUAGACAACAUCUACGUCCAAUGGCAUAGUUUCAGAUAACUUCUUUGAUUGUCAGCAUCUCGUCAUUUAUCACAAUCAUCCGAUUUAGUCUAAACUUGUUUGUGUUGCUUGUCUCUUCUGUGUCAAAGUUCUUGCUGGUGUGAUUUAGACGCUUGCAGAAGCCUUGGAACGUUCAGGAUGCCUUUGGAGUAGGAUGUCUCUUAUGUAAUAGUUAGGACCUAUUUGAAUAAACUUUUCCAGAAGUGCUUCUAGGAAGAAAUUAGGAACACAACGAAUUAAGUUUUUUCAUAGGUUAAAUUUAGUUUAUGCACAAGUUAUUGUGUAAUUUUUCGGUGAAACUAUACGAGAGUUUCUAUAAAUUAGUUUAUAUGUGAGUUAUUUUUAGUUUGU
Molecule: non-coding RNA, 3049 nt
Organism: Cajanus cajan (pigeon pea)
Lineage: Eukaryota; Viridiplantae; Streptophyta; Magnoliopsida; Fabales; Fabaceae
Source: RefSeq, a predicted model, not a curated record